This 615-nucleotide ribosomal RNA is filed under the name uncultured bacterium. RNAcentral describes it as "bacterial SSU rRNA". It matches the Rfam family "Bacterial small subunit ribosomal RNA", at positions 37 to 648 of the family's 1533-position model. The record is from RNAcentral.
UGGCGGCAUGCCUUACACAUGCAAGUCGAACGCGAAAGGGGGGCAACUCCUGAGUAGAGUGGCGCACGGGUGAGUAACACAUCGGAACGUAUCCUGAAGUGGGGGACAACCAGUCGAAAGACUGGCUAAUACCGCAUACGCCCUACGGGGGAAAGCGGGGGAUCGCAAGACCUCGCGCUUGUGGAGCGGCCGAUGUCCGAUUAGCUAGUUGGUGGGGUAAGAGCUUACCAAGGCGACGAUCGGUAGCUGGUCUGAGAGGACGAUCAGCCACACUGGGACUGAGACACGGCCCAGACUCCUACGGGAGGCAGCAGUGGGGAAUUUUGGACAAUGGGGGCAACCCUGAUCCAGCCAUGCCGCGUGCGGGAAGAAGGCCUUCGGGUUGUAAACCGCUUUCGGCCGGAACGAAAUCGCACCCGUGAAUAGCGGGUGUGGAUGACGGUACCGGAAGAAGAAGCACCGGCUAACUACGUGCCAGCAGCCGCGGUAAUACGUAGGGUGCGAGCGUUAAUCGGAAUUACUGGGCGUAAAGCGUGCGCAGGCGGUUCCAUAAGCCAGAUGUGAAAGCCCCGGGCUCAACCUGGGAAUGGCGUUUGGUACUGUGAGGCUAGAGUG